AACGAACGCUGGCGGCAUGCCUAACACAUGCAAGUCGAACGAGAUCUUCGGGUCUAGUGGCGCACGUGUGCGUAACGCGUGGGAAUCUGCCCUUUGGUUCGGAAUAACAGUUGGAAACGACUGCUAAUACCGGAUGAUGACGAAAGUCCAAAGAUUUAUCGCCAGAGGAUGAGCCCGCGUAGGAUUAGCUAGUUGGUGUGGUAAAGGCGCACCAAGGCGACGAUCCUUAGCUGGUCUGAGAGGAUGAUCAGCCACACUGGGACUGAGACACGGCCCAGUCUCCUACGGGAGGGAGCAGAAGGGAAUAUUGGACAAUGGGCGAAAGCCUGAUCCAGCAAUGCCGCGUGAGUGAUGAAGGCCUUAGGGUUGUAAAGCUCUUUUACCCGGGAUGAUAAUGACAGUACCGGGAGAAUAAGCUCCGGCUAACUCCGUGCCAGCCGCCGCGGUAA
RNAcentral lists this ribosomal RNA (449 nucleotides) under uncultured bacterium. RNAcentral's name for it is "partial 16S ribosomal RNA". It matches the Rfam family "Bacterial small subunit ribosomal RNA", at positions 29 to 523 of the family's 1533-position model. The record is from RNAcentral.